UCUGGUUAUUGCGAUGGAGGGACGGAGAAGGCUAGGCCAGCUUGGCGUUGGUUGUCCAAGUUUAAGGUGGUAGGCUGAGAUCUUAGGUAAAUCCGGGAUCUUAAGGCCGAGAGCUGAUGACGAGUUACCUUUUAGGUAACGAAGUGGUUGAUGCCAUGCUUCCAAGAAAAGCUUCUAAGCUUCAGGUAACCAGGAACCGUACCCCAAACCGACACAGGUGGUUGGGUAGAGAAUACCAAGGCGCUUGAGAGAACUCGGGUGAA
This 263-nucleotide ribosomal RNA is filed under the name Pseudomonas sp. PDM05. Its description in RNAcentral is "partial 23S ribosomal RNA". It matches the Rfam family "Bacterial large subunit ribosomal RNA", at positions 1446 to 1708 of the family's 2925-position model. Lineage: Bacteria; Pseudomonadati; Pseudomonadota; Gammaproteobacteria; Pseudomonadales; Pseudomonadaceae. The record is from RNAcentral.